Molecule: ribosomal RNA, 449 nt
Filed under: uncultured bacterium
Lineage: Bacteria
Description: partial 16S ribosomal RNA
Rfam family: Bacterial small subunit ribosomal RNA
Source: RNAcentral
AACGAACGCUGGCGGCAUGCCUAACACAUGCAAGUCGAACGAGAUCUUCGGGUCUAGUGGCGCACGGGUGCGUAACGCGUGGGAAUCUGCCCUUUGGUUCGGAAUAACAGUUGGAAACGACUGCUAGUACCGGAUGAUGACGAAAGUCCAAAGAUUUAUCGCCAGAGGAUGAGCCCGCGUAGGAUUAGCUAGUUGGUGUGGUAAAGGCGCACCAAGGCGACGAUCCUUAGCUGGUCUGAGAGGAUGAUCAGCCACACUGGGACUGAGACACGGCCCAGACUCCUACGGGAGGCAGCAGUGGGGAAUAUUGGACAAUGGGCGAAAGCCUGAUCCAGCAAUGCCGCGUGAGUGAUGAAGGCCUUAGGGUUGCAAAGCUCUUUUACCCGGGAUGAUAAUGACAGUACCGGGAGAAUAAGCUCCGGCUAACUCCGUGCCAGCCGCCGCAGUAA